This 361-nucleotide transfer RNA is filed under the name uncultured Microcystis sp. RNAcentral's name for it is "partial 16S-23S ribosomal RNA intergenic spacer". The stretch from base 136 to 209 matches the Rfam family "tRNA". Lineage: Bacteria; Bacillati; Cyanobacteriota; Cyanophyceae; Chroococcales; Microcystaceae. The record is from RNAcentral.
AAAGGGAGACCUAAUUCAGGUAAAAGACGAAAAAAAAGUAGUCGCUACCAAGAAUCAAUCCCAAAAGGUCGGAGCGAGGCGAAAUUGGCUUUCAAACUAGGUUCUGGGUUCAAACAAGACCUGAAUCAGGAACAAGGGCUAUUAGCUCAGGUGGUUAGAGCGCACCCCUGAUAAGGGUGAGGUCCCUGGUUCGAGUCCAGGAUGGCCCACCUGCACAGGUGGCAAAAACAAGAGAAGCGAGGAAUCAGCACCUUAUCUUACUUAUAUAGUAAGAGAGAAUGCUGGCUCUGAGUAAAGAGUCCAGAGGAACCUUGAAAACUGCAUAGAGCUAGGUGAAAAAGCCAAAAAAGAAUACCGCAAG